CUAUCAUGCAGUCGAGCGGAAGAUGGGAGCUUGCUCCCUGAUGUUAGCGGCGGACGGGUGAGUAACACGUGGGUAACCUGCCUGUAAGACUGGGAUAACUCCGGGAAACCGGGGCUAAUACCGGAUGGUUGUUUGAACCGCAUGGUUCAAACAUAAAAGGUGGCUUCGGCUACCACUUACAGAUGGACCCGCGGCGCAUUAGCUAGUUGGUGAGGUAAUGGCUCACCAAGGCAACGAUGCGUAGCCGACCUGAGAGGGUGAUCGGCCACACUGGGACUGAGACACGGCCCAGACUCCUACGGGAGGCAGCAGUAGGGAAUCUUCCGAAAUGGACGAAAGUCUGACGGAGCAACGCCGCGUGAGUGAUGAAGGUUUUCGGAUCGUAAAGCUCUGUUGUUAGGGAAGAACAAGUACCGUUCGAAUAGGGCGGUACCUUGACGGUACCUAACCAGAAAGCCACGGCUAACUACGUGCCAGCAGCCGCGGUAAUACGUAGGUGGCAAGCGUUGUCCGGAAUUAUUGGGCGUAAAGGGCUCGCAGGCGGUUUCUUAAGUCUGAUGUGAAAGCCCCCGGCUCAACCGGGGAGGGUCAUUGGAAACUGGGGAACUUUGGUGCAUAAAAGGAGAGUGGAAUUCCCCGUGUAG
Molecule: ribosomal RNA, 644 nt
Filed under: Bacillus subtilis
Lineage: Bacteria; Bacillati; Bacillota; Bacilli; Caryophanales; Bacillaceae
Description: bacterial SSU rRNA
Rfam family: Bacterial small subunit ribosomal RNA
Source: RNAcentral